UUGUCCAUGCUUACCUUCCACUUGUCCUUUCCAUGAGAACACUUGUCACCUGCAUACAAAAAAGGGGUGAUUAACUAUUAAUCAAAGAACAAAAAGGGGAGGGUCUCGGAAUUGAAGGACAGAGAGAGAAAGGGUGUGAACUGAGCAGAGAGAAGGAGAGUUCGUGCGUGUGUGCGAGCAGCGAGGGAAAGAGAAGGAAGGGCCACCUCUCGCCGUGUCCGUGCAGCCGCCAUCGACGCCACAGAUUCCCGUCACCGACCGGCCAAGCCGCGACCCCUGAACCUCCAUUUUCGGACAGCUACCGAGUGAGAGAGUUUAAGGCAAGCAAUUGUUCUUCAAUCUAUGUUGUUGCAAGCUGUUUUGCCUAGAAAAGAAGUGAAAUAGGUGAGGAGGAUGGAAUACUUGAGCUGCAUGUGGAGUCUUUGAUAUGUAGGAGGGUGUUAGAUCAAGAAAACUGGUUGUGGAUGAGGUGCAUGUGCUGGAUUUCGAAUUUCAUGAAGUGUGAGUGCUGGAUUUUUGGAACUUGCAAGUGAAACCAAAUGAAUUUGAGAUUCUGACCAUGAGGAAUCUUAGUGAUAAUCAUGCUGUGGUAAGGUGUAUUGUGUGUAUGGACAAAGAGUAUAAUGACGGGAGGUCGAAAUCUAAUAUAUAGGAGGAGUUUUGUGAACCUGUGAACUGUUUUGGUGAAAAUCAGUGUGACCUCAGGCGACAUUUUAAAUUUUCUGUAAUUAUCUAACCACAUUUUGAUUUCAAACCCUUCAUAAAAGUUUUAGAGAAUAUCUUCAUGAAUAACAUAUCCAAAAUUCAGAGAAAACGAACAAAGUAUGACCCUCGAAAUAAUUUUCCUACAAAAAUAUGAAAUCUGGAAUUUUACAGAAUGUUGGGUAGGAAGAAAAUCGAAGUUUUACUCUCAGUGCCUAUGGAAUCUGACUUAGUGUUCUGCUUGAGCUUUGUUUCUCUAGGUCUUAUCGAUAAAGUUUCAAAAUUUCGUAAUUUUCUGAGCCCUUUUAGUAAUUAAUUCGGAAUUGUUGCUAAAACUGUGCAAUUGUAGAAAUUAAGUUACCGUUUCGAGAUUUCUAUAGAAUUGUCCUAUAUGAAGUAUAGUUCUCGAAUUGCCAUGUGACUUAGUGAUGCUGAUGGUGGGAGGUUUGUGACUUGAUAAUGCUGAUGGUGGGAUAUUGUGAUUGAUAAAAAGUUUGUGAGAUAUCUUGUUUGACAUAUGAGGAUGCAUUUGUGAAUUAAAAUGCAAUUUGUUUGAUAAAAGGGUUCAUGAGAUAUCUUGUUUGACAUAUGAUGAUGCAUUCGUGAAAUUAAAAUGCGAUUUGUUACCCAUUGAACCCUCGGAUUAAUGAUGCCCUGGGAGUCGGGAUGCCCAAAGGAUCGAGUGAGUCGAUGCCUUGUGGAUGCCCGGUGGCCUUAAAUAGCUGAAUGCCGGAGGUUAUUCCUCGGGAGUUUCGAGAUGCCCGGUGGUAUGCUAGUUGGUACGUAAUUCCGGAUGGCCAGGGUAACCGUUUUCAUGGGAGGCCCUCGAGGUUCCUCGUGAUGUCAGGUGGGGUACGAGAUGCCUGGAGGCGUGAUUUGCUCCAGAUGCCUGGUGGCCUUAAAUGGCUGAAUGCCGGAGGCUUUCGCGAUGCCUGGAAGGAUGCGAAUGCCGGAGGGACGCAAACAUUGGUCCUCCGGGGAUGAAACCUUUUGAAAAAUAAAAUGAAUGAUUUGACUAUAAAUGUGUGGGGUCUGAAUAUGUUGUCAUCACAUUGAAGGGUUUCAUGAUUGUUAUCUGAUUAUGUGGCAUAUGAUUCUUAUAGAAUUUGCAAAUGCUUUAGUAUUGAAGAAUUCCAUGAUAUUGAUAUCUAUUUAUCCCUUGUCUCCCUGCCUUGUCUAUCUUGAAUGAAAUUAGAUGCUAAUUGUUAUGCUCAAUAUAGCUUGUUGAAUCUUGUGAUGCUGAGUGGUUGUACUCACCCCGUUUGGGGACUAACAUUUCAGACUAGACAAGAUACCUCUGCCGCCGCCACCACCAGCAGAUGGACCGAGUGGUUGGAUAUGGCUGUGAGGAGGAGGACAUCAAAUGAAGGAACUUUUGGAUGCCGACAUUGAUCGAGGGACUUUAAGUAUAUGAUUGUUGGAAGAGAUGUCGGUCAUCUUUUGAAAUAUAGCUGAGUAUAGAAAACCUUGGCAUUUUGAUGUACUGACGAAUGAUGUCCAUCAAGUUAUGUAAAUAAAAGUGUAUGGCU
RNAcentral lists this long non-coding RNA (2231 nucleotides) under Eucalyptus grandis. Its description in RNAcentral is "long non-coding RNA (EGRA_LNC003323)". Lineage: Eukaryota; Viridiplantae; Streptophyta; Magnoliopsida; Myrtales; Myrtaceae. The record is from RNAcentral.